This is a non-coding RNA of Comamonas testosteroni KF-1, 151 nucleotides long. The record is from Rfam. Lineage: Bacteria; Pseudomonadati; Pseudomonadota; Betaproteobacteria; Burkholderiales; Comamonadaceae.
CCUUGUGUGCGACCGCAAGUAGCCUACGGUGACGUGCAAGACCAGUAAUGGACUUGUGCGAAGCUCACCCGACAAAGUACCCCCGCGCAAGCGGCAUCUCUUACCCGUAAGGGCAGCGGUGGACACUGCCAGCAGAAAAGCGGUGAAGGGG